ACUGCACACUUGACCAUCUUCUCCAUGCAAAUUUUAAGAUCAAGUAAAAGUAUAAUGUGGAUUAUCACAAUUCUUUAUUAGCAAGAAAACAAAAACAAGUCUUCUUUAACUCUUGUCAUUGUUUAGUUAUCUUUUGACAAUUUAGUGCUCUGAUAUUUACUCAAACCUUCUGGACCUUGUUAUUGAACUAUGCUCAAUGAUAAAAUACUCCCAAGUCCAUCCUGAAAUUCAGAAUCUGCUUUCAUAUAAAAAAAGAAGCUCACAGCCUCCUCCUGCCUUUAAACAGUAAACGAUGAAAAAAGCAGAAGGAUCAAAACUCACAACCACUGCUGUUUAUCUUGUAUUUUGAGAAAAAAGAGCAAUAACACUACUACUGACAGGUCAAUCUGUCAGCUGCUCGGUACUCUUAUAACAUCCACAGUAGCAGACUAGAAGUACUCUUAUAUUAUAUUUAUAACAGCUCAUGUUUGAUAUAUUGAUCCUGCAAGUAUUUGACUAUCUCGAUCCCAUUUGAGGAGUACGGGAAUACCUAAAAAAAAACAAAGAAGGUUCCACCGGGAUUUGAACCCAGGUUGCCAGAUUCAAAGUCUGGAGUGCUAACCACUACACUAUGGAACCGGAUGUUGUAUGUGGUCCCUUGCAGAUGAUAUUUCUGUCUUAUAUUCCAUAAACACAGUGAAAAGCUGGAAAUUUUGUCCAUGUCCUUUUGAACUCUUUUUGUUUGUUUCCAUCAGUUUAGUUUCAGUGAAACUGUUUCCUUUGAGCAUGCAUCCAAUUAGCAUACAUGUAACAUUUGGUAAAAGGUAAAUAUUUGUUUGGAUCAUUUGCUACAACAUUUUAGCACUCCGUAUAAUUAUUAAAAGUAAUUUUUGACUGUGUAUGCUCAGAGAGAGAGAGAGAGAGAGAGUCAUCUAAUAGAAUUUGCAAAAUUAAAUAUUCCAAAGUUUGAUUGCGCUGAUGUAUGUUUGUGAGCAGAGGGAUUAUGUCAUAGUGGGAUGCAGUGCAUAGUAAUCUAAUGGUAUGUUGAAAUAAUCUAAUGAGGUGAACACAUGCACAGAAAAUACUGUGGGCAUGUCAUGUUUAACCUUCUUAGGUAGCUACUUGACAAGCUUCUCCAUGCAAAUUAUAAGAUUUGAGUGAAAAAUAUAAUGUGGCUUAUAACUGUUUGUUAGC
Molecule: transfer RNA, 1173 nt
Filed under: Oryza sativa Japonica Group (Japanese rice)
Lineage: Eukaryota; Viridiplantae; Streptophyta; Magnoliopsida; Poales; Poaceae
Description: sRNA Os02g0251200
Source: RNAcentral